AACGAACGCUGGCGGCAGGCCUAACACAUGCAAGUCGAACGCCGUAGCAAUACGGAGUGGCAGACGGGUGAGUAACGCGUGGGAACCUACCUUACGGUCGGGAAUAGCUCAGGGAAACUUGGGGUAAUACCGGAUACGCCCUUACGGGGAAAGAUUUAUCGCCGUUAGAUGGGCCCGCGUAGGAUUAGCUAGUUGGUGAGGUAAUGGCUCACCAAGGCGACGAUCCUUAGCUGGUCUGAGAGGAUGAUCAGCCACACUGGGACUGAGACACGGCCCAGACUCCUACGGGAGGCAGCAGUGGGGAAUAUUGGACAAUGGCGAAAGCCUGAUCCAGCAAUGCCGCGUGAGUGAUGAAGGCCCUAGGGUUGUAAAGCUCUUUUACCAGGGAUGAUAAUGACAGUACCUGGAGAAUAAGACUCCGGCUAACUCCGUGCCAGCAG
RNAcentral lists this ribosomal RNA (440 nucleotides) under uncultured bacterium. RNAcentral describes it as "bacterial SSU rRNA". It matches the Rfam family "Bacterial small subunit ribosomal RNA", at positions 29 to 514 of the family's 1533-position model. The record is from RNAcentral.